Molecule: long non-coding RNA, 580 nt
Organism: Leopardus geoffroyi (Geoffroy's cat)
Lineage: Eukaryota; Metazoa; Chordata; Mammalia; Carnivora; Felidae
Exons: 2
Source: RefSeq, a predicted model, not a curated record
AGAUCAGUAAAUGAAUGGCGGGGAAGAAAGGCAUGGAAACUAAGUGGUGAAGUAUGUCCCCUUUAUCGAAUGGAAGCAGGACCUGAAGUCCAUUUCCUUGGAUACAGACAGAGGGCAGCAGAAACAGAAGAGUCGCGGAUUUCUGUCGUGUCUGCAUUUCCCAACAAAUUUUUGUUUCCAUGGGAAUGAGGAAAUAAGGCUACUUCCUAACAGUACCUUCCAGACCCUGACUUUCUGCUUCGUUAUGUGACUUGCUUUGGUUGACAGAGUUGUAGCAACGUGGAUGCAAGCAGGGGAUUCAGAAAAUCCUCACGUUUCCACCUCAUCUCUUGCUCCAUCAUCGUCAUGAAAACUCAUGUAGUAGACCCAACAAUGACCCAUCAUGAUAGCUGAGGCCAUCAUCAAUUAGAUGAAAACCAGGUGACCCCCCACACAUGUGAGGGAGCCCAGAUGAGCCCGUCUCUGAUCAGAAGAACUGCCAGAUUGCCUGUAGCCUUCUGAGAAACAAUUGUUUGAAGUAUGUGGUAUGACUUGUUACAAAGUAAUAGCUAACCUGAUACAAAUAAUAAUUUAUUCAGUA